This is a long non-coding RNA of Poecilia reticulata (guppy), 1194 nucleotides long. RefSeq lists it as uncharacterized. The record is from RefSeq and is a predicted model, not a curated record. NCBI's taxonomy places the organism in Eukaryota, Metazoa, Chordata, Actinopteri, Cyprinodontiformes, Poeciliidae.
UGUGCCGUCUUGGACAAACAGCGAGUUCCUGGCAAAGACAAACAAAAGAAGUUUAAUUUCAACAUAARUAGCAUCUACUCUCUUCAACAUGCAUCAGCAGAUUUCCAAGUACUGAUUCACCAGAGAACAAGACACAACGAGUGAUAAGAGGAACUAACAGCAGAAAAGAGAUUUCUGACGCCACAAUGAGAAUGUGAAGAAUGUAAAGACAAAGCUUUGAUAGGUCCAGUGUGGCGCACACCGAGCCUUGACCUCGACCCCAGCCAGGAGCGUUGGAAUAACAGCGAGUCAGACCUUCUCAUCUCUAAAUGACCUCAUGAAGACUCAACAGCAUAAACAGGAAACAUGUUCAUGCUCCAAAAUCCUGUGAAAAGCUGUAAUACUGGAGGAAAGAUAUGUAUCUCAAUGGAAAGUUGUGGGGAUUUGCACCCUGAUAAGGUGACAAAUAUUAAACACAAAAUAACUAGUGUUUCAUUUUUACGUGACUUAUGUUGUGUUUAACAUCUUCAGAGUUUACCGUUUCAUACUAUGGAGUGCUAGGGCCAGACUAAAAAUAUUUUUUUCCUUUUUGGAGUUACGAUACUACAAGACACCAAAUCACCAGAAAAAAGUUGUUAAAAUACUAAGAAAAAGUUUUUAUGAGUGCAAAGCUUCAAUAAUUAUCCAGAUCUAAUAUUUAAUCCUUUUCAAAGUCCUGCUACUGAUACUAAUUUGAUGCUGAUGUGUUGAAAGAUUCGUAAAACUCAUACCAACGAAUAACUUCACAAGAUGCUCAACAUUCCUCAUUUAAAAGUUUUAUUAUUUUUUGUGUAGGAGUUUUCAUAAAAUGACAACUUCAAUCUACAUAUGUUACAACAUUGAUCUGGUAAUAUUAUAACUAUAUUCUCAUUUCAUUAUGACUUUUUUCUGGUAUUAUGACUUUAUACAUGCAUCAUUACAUUUUUUUGUUGUAUUAUUACAACUUUAUUCUUCUAAUAUCACUUUGCUCUCAUUAUAGUUUCAUUUAAUUCUCUUAAUUAUUUUUUCUCAUAAUAUUGUGACAUUUCAUGUUUUUUGUUCUUAGUCUGGCCCUAAUAAUCCGUCGCAGUUUUCUAUGUGUUUGGAAGUUAAAUAAAUAUCCUGACAAUGUAAAAACCUAUAAAUAAACUCGUAUCAAUGUGACUGUGGUAUGUAACUUCACAGGCAUGUGUUCAG